This 1297-nucleotide long non-coding RNA is filed under the name Nicotiana tabacum (common tobacco). The record is from RNAcentral. Lineage: Eukaryota; Viridiplantae; Streptophyta; Magnoliopsida; Solanales; Solanaceae.
CUAUGUUUCCCCGUUAUAUUACGGAGCUCAACAUCUCGGUUCGUCCGUUCGGGGACAUCCGAUAAAAUUGGAACGAUACAGAGAAGAUUAGCAUGGCCCCUGCGCAAGGAUGACACGCACAAAUCGAGAAAUGGUUCGGAGCUUUUUUUCAUCUAUUUGGUUUCAUGUUUCCCCAAAUUUAGCUGACGGCAAUAGGCGUAUUAUUAUGCCCUAGUUUGAUUAUUUAGUUUUUAUCAUGAUUUUAUUGGGAGAUUCAGUCAUAUUACAUCAGGAACAUAUAUGACUCCAUGAUCUCUGUUCAAUUAGUUUUCUAUUAAUCAUAUUGAUGCAUGUAAUGUAAUGGUUAACUUAAAAUUGAUUAUCUUUUGUCCCCCAUUAUGCAAUCCCCAAUCCACUAACCAAAGCAAAUUUGUUUGCUAUUCAAAAUCAACAAAUUUCAUAGAUUCAUUCUACUAUAUUUAAUCUACUUGCACAUUGAGCCGCUUUUUGUGCAACGGUUUUUCGCCGUCCUUCUAUACUCUUUAAGUUAAGGAAGCUCGUCCAAAUUGUUGGUAAAUUCCUUUAUGAGAUUUCUCUCUGAAAUGAAGAAACUACAAAUACUAAUUCGUAGCUAUUCUAUGUCAAGCAUGUCGGAAAGUAUCUAUGUUCUAAGCUACUGUGCAAUGCUUUUCAGUUAGCUUUUUCUCAUCCAGUAACCUUCGUGUCAUAUAAGCAACCUUUUUUUAUUUCUUUAAGAAUGGCGUGUUUCCUUUAAGCGAGGACAUUGAAGGAGGAGCCUUCCUAAAAGGGACUCCAAUGAAGGUCCUGGGGUUGUUUGAAUAACACAUGGUUCUUUCGUAUGCCUAAUUGUUAUCAUAGCACCUACAGAUAUGUGAAGGAUGGUGAGACAAGGUACUGCGUUGUUUGUUAAUGUUUGUUGAUCUUUGGGUGCUUUGUAAACUGCUUUACUUCCUUUUUUUAUAAGUGGAAUUGCUGACCUACGUUGUAUGAAAGAUUGAGAUAUGAUUGUUUUCUGAAGUCCUCUGUAUUUAAGUUCCUUGACUUUUCAAAAAUGAUGUCUCUCCUAGUAAUGUGGCAGCAUAUAAAUAAUUAUGCAGUUCGUGGGAUCUAUUCCUGAUUCCCAGAAGAUAGUGAAAGGUGGUUCAACAGAUAGACUGCAAAAUGACAAGACAAUGGUACCUAAUGAACUGAAUUAUGAACUUACAAAAUUGAUUGUCUCUUCGUUGCAACCCAUUGGCAAGCUACUAGUUCUUUCUGUCGAAAAUGGGUACCACAUGUACACGAGUUUUCUGCAUCC